GCAAGUCUGGUGCCAGCAGCCGCGGUAAUUCCAGCUCCAAGAGCGUAUAUUAAAGUUGUUGCAGUUAAAAAGCUCGUAGUUGAACUUUGUGCUUGGCUGGCCGGUCCGUUUUUUAACGAGUACUGGUUUUCACCCGAGCCUUUCCUCCUGGUUGCUGUGUAGUUGGGCUUGUCUCACCUGCAUAUGAUCCAGGACUAUCACUUUGAAAAAAUUAGAGUGUUCAAAGCAGGCGUUUAGCUCGAAUAUAUUAACAUGGAAUAAUGAAAUAGGACGUAUGGUUCUAUUUUGUUGGUUUCUAGGACCAUCGUAAUGAUUAAUAGGGACGGUCGGGGGCAUCAGUAUUCAAUUGUCAGAGGUGAAAUUCUUGGAUUUAUUGAAGACUAACUACUGCGAAAGCAUUUGCCAAA
Molecule: ribosomal RNA, 407 nt
Filed under: uncultured bacterium
Lineage: Bacteria
Description: SSU rRNA
Rfam family: Eukaryotic small subunit ribosomal RNA
Source: RNAcentral